AGUGAUUGUCAUUUCCAUCCCGAGCUGCAUGGGACGUCUGCUCUCUGGGUGCCUUCCUGUCAAACCCCGGCUAGAGAAGUGCCAGCUCCUGUGUAUGUUUCCUGGGCCUCCAAGAUAUGAGAGGGGAAGAUAUCUGCCGACAGCCCAUCACAGUUCACGGCUCUUUGUUUAUCCAUUAAUAAUUGAGCAUAGCUGAAGACAGAACAAGGACUGUUUUCCACCCGUGCCGUGUCCCCCCUUUAACCCAAAUGAACUGGCUACACGAGGACAGUAACAUGUUUCCGGGUGCUGACAUCGGUAUAUGGCAGGUAAAAAAAACAUUUUUCCCCACAGAGCGCUCGCCGCCUAGAACAAAGUCGAAACUGUUUCCCCCUCGGAGGCGGCCCUAGAGUGAGAGUCUCCUGACGUCUCCUUUGGGGGGCUUUCAGCAAAAAAUAAGUCGUACAAGCAGGAGCCUCUGCCGGGAAGUGAGUUUACAAAAAAAGUAGGGGACACAGAAAGGACAGUAAUGAGAGAGUGAUUGCUGUUUUCUCUGUUGAUUGCUGGGGAUGCCAUCACUCCAUAUGCUGUGUAUGAUGGGAGAGUCAAAUUAAAAAUGUAGGCUAGUGAUCAGACGACACUGUAAAACUGGGAGUUAAAUCCCUCCAGUGAUAAAAGCAAACAUUUUGGUCCCAGAAAGUGAGCCCCCCCCCCCCUCCCUGUGUUCUGUCAAGUAGGUAAAGUGUUGAUUAGCAUAUUGCACUUAGAUUGACAACGUGUGCUCCAUUACAGAAAACUGCAACUCAGGACAUCUUAUGGCAGCAUCUGGAUAUCCCUAGACCUAACGCCAAAUUAUUUCACCAGAACUACCGUG
Etheostoma cragini (Arkansas darter) is the source of this 853-nucleotide long non-coding RNA. RefSeq lists it as uncharacterized. The record is from RefSeq and is a predicted model, not a curated record. The transcript has 4 exons. NCBI's taxonomy places the organism in Eukaryota, Metazoa, Chordata, Actinopteri, Perciformes, Percidae.